This 404-nucleotide ribosomal RNA is filed under the name Fusobacteriota bacterium. RNAcentral's name for it is "Fusobacteria bacterium partial 16S ribosomal RNA". It matches the Rfam family "Bacterial small subunit ribosomal RNA", at positions 355 to 776 of the family's 1533-position model. Lineage: Bacteria; Fusobacteriati; Fusobacteriota. The record is from RNAcentral.
UGGGGAAUAUUGCACAAUGGAGGGAACUCUGAUGCAGCGACGCCGCGUGAGUGAUGAAGGACUUCGUUUCGUAAAACUCUGUUCUAUGGGAAGAAAAGGACUGUACCAUAGGAGAAAGCUCCGGCUAAAUACGUGCCAGCAGCCGCGGUAAUACGUAUGGAGCGAGCGUUGUCCGGAAUUAUUGGGCGUAAAGGGUGCGCAGGCGGCUUUACAAGUUGGAUGUGAAAUAUUGUGGCUCAACCACAAACGUGCAUCCAAAACUGCAAAGCUUGAGUUAAGGAGGGGUAAGUGGAAUUCCUGGUGAAACGGUGGAAUGCGUAGAUAUCAGGAGGAAUACAGGUGGCGAAGGCGACUUACUGGACUUAAACUGACGCUCAGGCACGAAAGCGUGGGGAGGAAACAGG